AAAUAAAUAAAUAAACAACAAAAUUAAAAAAUACAAAACAACCAUUCACAAACAUUGAACUUUAGAUAAUGAUACGCAUGCUAAAGUGUUUAUGGGUCAAGGAUACUGAGGUCUGCCACUCACUUAGAAAUGCAUCAAAAAGUUAGGACGGAAGGAUGUUUGGAUAGAUGGUCGGAUAGAUAAAGGAUAAGCAAAUACUACAGUGAAAUGUUAACAAAUGUAUAAUCUAGAGAUAGGGCAUAUGCAUGGCUGAUGUAUAAUUCUUUCAACUUUUCUGUAUGUUUUGAAAUUUUUCAUAGUAAAAUGUUGGGAAAAAGGAGUUAAAAAUGUGGUUAGGUGGGAAGAAAAAUGAAGAGAGAGUUUUAGGAUAUAUAGGAAACCAAAGGAAUAUAUGAGAAAAGUGAGGCAUAUUGAGAGGUCUAGGGCACAGUUUCCAAAUCUGCCUGUUCCCCAAAAUAUCCUGGAGAGCCUUUAAAAAAUAUGGAUACCUCAGUUCUACUCAUAGAAGUCCCGAUUAAGUAGAUCUGGGAUGAAGCUGGGAAUCAUUUUUAAAAGCUCACUAGUUGAUGAUCAUCCCUAUUGGUCGUUGGUCUAACAGGCCACACGACCUUGUUGCUUUUCUCUACAAGGAGUAUCAUGAAAGAUACUAUGUACAAGCAAAAACAAUCGAUAUUUUCAUUUUUAAUAAUCUCUCUUCCCCAGGCUAAACUUACACUUUAAGGACAGUGCAACACUGAGCAAUUAGUAGCAACAAAUUUCAGCUCAUUGUCACUCCAAGUGUGACAGAGUUGGGCUGUCAAAAUCUAGCCCUCCUCAUUCACUCACUCAAAGGAGUAGUGGUGAUGCCACUGUCAGUUAGGACUACUGGGUGAUGCUGAAGAGACUGUCAGAUGGUAGAUGAGAUGGGUCCCAGCGUGUCAGACCUUGAUCCUGCAGAGAGCUGGCAUGUGAGAGAGGUCAGGCUGUCUCCUCACUGCCCCAAUACUGCGUCAAGCUAACUCCCACCACUGUGUAGUUUUCCCCAGGCUGGGGUCCCACUCCACUCCUCCCCACCUAUCCCAAACCUUCACACUCUUCAAGGGCUCCCUUUUCAUUAAGAAUCCCCCAACUCCCACUGGGCAGAACGCCUAUUGCAUUGAUAACCAGCACAAUUCCUAGUCUGAAUAAUUCCUUUAAAAAAAACAUAGAAAUUGGCCAGGCACAGUGGCUCACACCUGUAAUUCCAGCACUUUGGGAAGCUGAGGCGGACGGAUAGCUUAAGGCCAGGAGUUCGAGACCAGCCUGGCCAACAUGGUGAAACCCCGUCUCUACUAAAAAUACAAAAAAAUUAGCCAGGUGUGGUGGCACGCACCUGUAAUCUCAGCUACUUGGGAGGCUGAGACAUGAGAACUGCUUGAACCCGAGAGGUGGAGGUUGCAGUGAACCGAGAUUGUGCCACUGCACUCCAGCCUAGGCAACAGAGUGAGACUCUGUCUCAAAAAAACAAAAACACUAAUUGUUAUUCUUUCACAUUCAUACUUCCUGUUCCUGCGCAAGGUGUGGGAGGUGUGGUGAACAUUUGUGAUUCAUUUUGGCUGCCCUGCAUCUGAACCCCUUCCUAUGUUUGUGAAAUUCCUUGCCUCAUGCAUGGGUGCCCACAUCCCACUAAAAACCAGAAACUUCCAGAUACUCUAUUUCCAGCUUCCCUUGCAGCUAGGAUGUGGGCAUAUGGCUCGGGACUCUGGCCCCAAACUUAGAGUUGACAACUAAUGAUGAAAAGAAACAGGGUUUGUAGAGAAUCUGUUCAAGUUUCAGCUGCAGCCAGAGCAGAGGCUCAGGCUGUGGUGUGCAGAGUCCAAUGCCAGGAUGCGGGUGGUGCAAACCCUGGAGUCCUGGAUCUUGCUGUGAUGACAAUGGGGUUAUUCCUUAUUCCUGUACUUAUUAUUCCUGUGGAGUUACCCAGUGGUGCUUCCUGCUUACAGCCUCUCAUGGUUUCUGCCUUUUUCUGAGCCUAGCUCCUCAGCCUUUCAGUUACACGUUUACUACUAAAUUUAUUUUAAUUUCAAGUCAGCUAAAGUUGCUUGCAACUGAGUACUCUAUGUCAAGUAGAUUUCAACUAUAGAAGUAUGGAAGAUACUGAAAAAUUGAAUAUUUAGGAUUCAAAGUAAGGCUCAGAAUCUGAGCCUUUGAGGCCAGGGGCUGUUGUGCAUACCUUUUGUAUCCCAGCAGAGAGGCUGGCCUGUAGUGAAUGCUUGGUAAAUGCUUGUUGAUUGAUUGAUUUUCACGAGCAUGAAUGAGCAUGAUCCUCAUGGCCCAGUCAUUCCCACUUCUUCCCAUGCUUGUGUUAUGUGCAUUUCCCAGAUACAGCAAGAGUCCCUUCAUUUUUGGUUGUUAGUGCAUUGUCUGAGGGCUAUUUCAGCCUUUUCUGAUUUCCUUUUGGACUUUGACUUAUGAGAAAAUUAUAUCCAGAGGAUUUAAGUUUUCUCCAGGACACAUUCAAAUACCUGCUCUUCUUUUAAACUGAGUGAUCCCAGGCCCCAGUCAGACCCUGCAAGAGGCUCAAAAAUCUAGGAGUCCAGAGGACAAAGGUCAGCUCAUUUCCAGCAAGUUCCUUGGUUAGGCAUGCCCCCCUCACCUUGAGUAGGUGAGAAAGGCCAUCCCAGUCACUGAUUCCCACACCAUUCCACUGGAAACUGGGAGGACUUUAGGGGCAGCUGUAGACAGAAGCCACACAUGAUGCCUCCAAGCAGGCCAACAGGGCAUUGCCAAAUAGGCUGUUUGUUGAGUAAGACUUGGCCAUGACCUUUGCCAUGGGAUAGCCUCUCCCCGUGACAUUUAUGAGGACCAGAUCCCCUCUGGGAGUUUACCAGCCACACCGGAAGCAUACCAAGGGCAGCUGACAUAACUCUAAUUCUAGAGAACAAAAGCCAAAAUUGCCCACAGAAGUUCUGUCUGGCCAUGUCAUUGUUAAAGGCCCUCAAGGUUAACUCCAUUCGCUUGCCAGUGUUGGCUCUUUCUUAGCAAAAACUCAUCUGUGCUGACGUCUGCCUUUCCUGAGUCAUGCCAAGGGUGUCUCUGCCCAGCCGAGAAUCUAUGAACAAUGAGCAUGAAUGAAACAGCUUCUUCUGCCUCCAGAAACCACUGGAGGAGCCAUGCCAUGUGGCUGGGUGAUAACUAAAGUGUCUGUCUCCUCUUCUUUUUCUUUUUGUUGAUACAGCCUGGACCCACGCCUUCAUCAAUCUACUGUCAGGGAUAGAUUGUGCAUUUUCUGUGUCCCAGUGGGUGCCCCCCCCCCAAAAUAGAGCAGACAAAGCCUGGCCUGCGAGGGUACUGGUUUAGUUCAACAAAUAUCCAUAGAAUGCCCACUUAGGCAAAAUGGCAUAGGGCAGAUUGCCAAAAUCAGGGUUGACUCGGCCUGGAGCCAUGAAGUGGGUCCAACAGGUCUCUGAACUGAGGCAGGAGGCCCCAGGAUCCCGAGGUGUGCUGUAAAGCCUUUGAUGACAGCAUCUUGUGCCUAACACCUGACCACAUCUGAGCCACUAGAGACAGUACCUGAUAAGGAUGCAGAUGCCUGGGCCCUACCUUCCAAAGUUCUGGCUCAGUAGGUCUGGGGGAAGACCAGUAAUCUUCAUUUUAACAAAGACCACUGACGGUUCUGAUGCAGGUGGUCCAAGGACCACACCUGGAGAAACUUCCACCUCUAGGAGCAUCUGGGGUAAAAACUUCACCCAAACUUCCUAAGGUCACAACAUAUCCCCCCCAACAGAGGAAGCAGUAACUUUUGGCCACAGCCCCUAGAGAGGGGAUUUGCCUGGCGUUUCUAUACUGUCCUCUGUCCAAGGACAAAGUGUGCCUUACCCCACAACUGCUUUGUGGUUAAAAGCUUCUAUUGAGGGAUAGUUUAUUUACUUCUAGCACUAUGAAGCAAUAUAGUGAGGUUUUUGUUUCCUUUGAAUCCCAGUCAUUUUAUGCUGCAGAAAAUCUAGAGUUUUUGCCACAGUGGAGGACUCUGCUUAAGGACUACCUAUCUGGGUCUGGUAAUAGCUACCCCAACCCAACGGUCCUGAACGAGUAAUAUGGUUCGACUGUUUCCCUCCCCACCUCCAAAUCUCAUCUUGAAUUGUAGUUCCCAUAAUCCCCACGUGUUGUGGGAGGGACCUGGUGGGAGGUAAUUGAAUCAUGGGGGCGGUUAGCCUCAUGUUGUUCUCCUGAUAGUGAGUUCUCACAAGAUCUGAUGGUUUUAUAAGGGGUUUUUCCUCCUUUUGCUUGGCACUUCUUGCUGCCACCAUGUGAAGAAGGACAUAUUUGCUUCCCCUUAUGCCAUGACUGUAAGUUUCCUGAGGCCUCCUGAGCCAUGUGGAACUGUGAGUCAAUUAAACCUCUUUCCUUUAGAGAUUACCCAGUCUCAGAUAUGUCUUUAUUAGCAGAGUGAGAAUGGGCUAAUACAAUGAGAUAGAACUUAAAUCCCCUGCAUGCUCAUCAGAGGAGGCUCCAUAGAAGAUCAUGGACCUUGAACAAGGUGCAAGUAAGCCUAGAUGCAAUGCAAUGGAUUAGGGAUUCCAGGCUUGAAAACCAGUGGGAAGGAAGGGGUCAGGUGGGAGUGGUCCUCAGUUCCUGUGUGGGCUCUGGCAUCAGGCAGCACACAGGAGUCUUCCCUGCUGGUGGGGAGAGAAAGAGGCAGUAGAAGGGGUCCCGAGCUGGAAGGAUCAGCAGCCACUGCAGACUACUGAUGGAGGCAGUGCCAGGGAGGAAGAGGGUCGUGCCUAGUGGUGUCCAGGCAUUGGCAUGCAGGAGGCAGUCCAGGCACUGGUACCCGGGAGAGUUAAAACUGGGGGAAGGGAAGACAGCAGGGGAUUCUCACAAGGAAUGUGGAGCAGAGGCCCAGGCAGGGGGCCAUCAAGGUGGAGAGGACUGAACCUGGAAAUGGAAGCUUUCCAAGUCACACAUUGAAGAGUAUCAGCAAGGUCUUAAGCCCUGGAACAGUGAGGGAUGGCAUCAGGACAAACUGAGGUCAGUGAGUGUGUUGGCAGCGGACCAGGCUCCGAACGGCACAAACUCCGUCUGGGAUGGGGAAUCUAGCAGAAGACCUAGGAAGAAUUUGAAGAGGGUUCAGAGGUGAAUUAGGGAUGCUUGUAGCUUUUGUGUGGGCAGUGCGUUACUGGGGUGUAGUCCUCAUUGAAGGCCCAAGAUUCUGCCUCUAAGGGUGUAACUCUGCUGAAUCCAGCACCUGAGAGGCUGUCCAGAGCAGGCAGGAGGUCAGCUGUCAGGCUGUGGGCCCAGUUUUAGAGUCAAAUUGAAUUUCCAGUGGGGAAGACCAAAGCUGAAGUCCAUCCCCCAGAGGAUGAGAGAAAGGAAGGCUGCAGCUCAGGCAGCUCAGGGAGUCUGAGGCAGCAAACGAGCUCUGGACCUUGAAGUGGGGAGAGGAAGUCCUUUCACCUCAUCACAGUGCUCACAUCACCUCAGAAACCAGGUGGGACACACAGCUGUGACAGGUGAGAGAUGAUUCCAUUGGUGCCUGGGAUACCAGAUUCAUGCUGGGAAGUAGGAUGGAUGUGGUGGUUUGCAAAAGGCUUUGUCUGCUAAAUUGAGGAUACUGGAUCAUACCCCAAGAGAAAGGGGAGCUCCAAUGGAAAAGCCACCUGCAUCAUGAUGCUGCCUGUCACUUGACUGAGCGUUCCUGCUGCCCAGAAGCUCCUGUUGUCCUCCCAACUGACGGGAUGCUCUUGGACAGUGAUGCCAGCUGGAAUUAAGACUGGGUUUCCAAGGCCACUGUGACCACCAUGAUUAAUGUGAGUAUCGCCAGGUCUUCUCCACACAGGCCCCCUCAGCAUGGUUGUCCCCAAAGCCCUGACCCCAGCUUUUCCUGGUUUUCUGCUUCCUUUAGCAAUCCCUACUGCUAGGGCUCCAACAUGCCUCAGCCAGAAAGCUGUCAUCUCUUUCCUGGGAACAUUCCUUAAGAAAGAACCAUCAUGGGGUUGGAUGAAACUAAACUUGCAAAGAAGGUGAUGUGUAACCAAGUUGGAGUGUGGAGUGUGGGGUCAAAGAUGAUGGCAUUCUGUGUGGAUCCGCAGUGGUAGGAAUGGAGGUGAGGAGGAAGAAAUGAAUCCAGGAGGCAGCGUGACAGAAAACACAGACUUUGGUGACGACAUGUGAGAAGCUGUAAACUGAUAAGAAGAAAAGACGUCUCCAGCACGUUUGGGUUAGUGUCAUCAACCCAUGGAUCCUGCCCACAGCAAGACUUGGCCCAGUCACAACCCCCUUUCUAGCAAUGUGGAGAUAAAUGUCUUCAACAGAAAGGGUUGGGAAUCCCAUGUGACAGCCGAGCUCUGUUCUGCCUUUGACAGAGUCUGAUGCGAAGUGGAUCAUCUCAGGGAUGUGCCUUGCUGGCUUCACCCACCUGGAGCCUCAGGGGAAGUCUCAGGUGGGAGAUGUUAAUUUGAGAGGCCUGGGUAUAAAAGUAAUCCCAAGAUGUCACAAGAUAGAAUACUUUCUCUGAGGCACAAACAGGGAGAAAAACAAGAACAGAACCCCUUAGCAGGACACUCAUAAUAAGAAGAAUUAGGAAAAGAAAAGGGAACCCGGGGUGACACAAAACUGGGGGAGUCUGUUACCACAAGGUAGAUGGCUACCUCCAGUUGGACAAAUUUCCAUGGACCACCAUGCAAUUUCUGGAGAUGCCGCCUUUGAUCCCCUCUUCUCCCUUUGCUCCUCCCUCAUCUCCACACUCAAAGUGCACAUUAUUCAGAUGUCCAGCACGCCCCUAAAUCAACUUGACUUCUCUUGUUCCUUGGCAGAUUCAAGGACCAGCCUUCAUUGGAUUUGGGGUGGAAGCUACAUGCUUGUGUCAAGGGUUGUAAUCCCAAGUCUGGUCCUGUUUUCUGCAAACAAUAUCAUUGUAAACACAUUGAAUGUGUCUGAAUGGGAUUCACAUAACCUAUUCAAAGGUUAAUAUCACAAGACUGAUACUGAGCUGGAAGCUCUGAAAUGUACUUGUGCUCAGGGAAGAUAUUUGCUAAUGUUUGGCUUUAAUUUCCCCUGGAACUUGUACACAUCAGUGAGGCCUGGGGAUAAUGAAUAACAGCAUGGACAAUAAAUUUUAAAACAAACAAAAUAAAAACUCAAAGAACAUUAAUGCAGACCAGUGCUGGGAUAUGAUGUGUGUUACAAGAGAGUAAUGAUUACUCUUGGUGAGCAGAUUCUAUUAUCUGCUUCUUAGGAGCAAUAGGUGGCUGCCUCUUGAUUGUAUUAGUCCUGGAGUUAUAAAAUCCUCAGUCCUUUACAAUGCAAAAGUGACACAUGGGGCGAGUAAGCAGGUAAGAGAAGGAGCAAUUGGAGGAAGAGAAAUGAGAUCUGUGGCAGGGGCUAUUGGCUUUCCACUAAAACCCAUUCUCUACUUCUUGCUGGGCAAGAACUAGGCAGUAUUUACCAGCCCCUCUUGCAUUUGGGGUGGCCACAAACGAAUUCUGGCCAGUGGAGUGAGGGGCUUCUCAGACAGCAGCCUGCCCCUUCCACACUCCUGUUCCCCUUGCAGUGGCUCAAAGCCCUUGGGUGAUGAUGGAGCCAUAGCUGGAAGAAGCCUGGGUCCCUGGGUCCCCCGUGGAGCCUCCACGCGGGAAGGUGGUCUAGAAAUACACUUCCAUAUUUCAGCCAGCAUGCCUUGGGAUCUUUUUUUAAUGGUGGUUCAGCCUACCCUAACUAAAGCUGGGCCCACUCAGCACGCCCCACACAGGGAUUCUGAAAUGGGAGCAGGGUCCACCAAAACUCUGCUUUUCAGAGAGCUCACACCCUAGGGGAGUAUAAAAGUGACGAGGACACUGGAGCUGGCAGGCAAGACCCAGGAUGCCAAAAUUAGGGCCCCUAAACACAGCAGGGAGGGUGAGCUAUCCUCUUGUGAGGUGGGAGGAGGGUCUCCGUGAGCAGGGCUCUUCUUGGGCCAAACCUGGAUCAUGAGGAGGAGGGAGAGAUGCUGAAUAUGACAUGUCAUUCAAAGUGCUGUCUGGAAAUUUGAGUUCGUUUCUUCAGUAGAGGCAGCACAGGUUAAUCAGACAAACCAGCCAUCAACAGGCUUCCUUUGAGGAGCUUGGUAAGAAUGGAAAACCCAGGGCUGAGGGGCUUACAGAGCUUACAGAGCAGCACAGUAUCAGGGGCCCAAGGCACCAGGAGCUCCUCUGGAAAUUGGCGGGAACAGCUGGAGCAAAGCCGAGGUGAUGGUACCCCUGGUGGCGGGACGGCAGCGACCCUCCAUGGUAUAAGGAGUGGUGAGACCCCAAGGGACAGUGUGCAAGGACUCUGAUGGCAGCAACACUCCUCUAGGAGCUGAUGAGAAAGGCCUGGAAUCCCAAGAUGCACCCCUGAGGUUCAACUCCUACCCUGAUCAUCUCCUCCAAGAUUCUGUGACCUGGGGAAGUCAACAGUACAUUUCAACACCUAUGAUGUCAGCAUGUGAAUGACAUUCCAAUGCUGCUCAUGGGGUCACCCCUGCAAAGGUGAACUCAGUGGAAAGACCUUGCCAAACCGGAAGGAAAACAGGAUACUUUUCUCCAAAAUACUCAUUCAAUAAAUAUUUGCUUAGGCAUUACAAAGACAAAUAAGACUUGCCCCUACCUGUUAGAGGUAUGUAUGUCGAGAAAAGGAAGGAGUGAUUCAAUAAGAGAAACAGCAUUCAGGGAAGAGAAAGAAGGAAGACAUAAAAAUUCAGGUCAUAUUAGAAUAAUAUAUAUAACAAUGAGUUUGGCUAUAUUUCAGAAUUUUCCCAAAAUAUUUCUUUCAAAUUUGAUUGACAUUCUAAACUAUUUAGCUUGAUAUAAAUGAGAUCUUUGUGUACCCUCAGCAGGAACUGCAUUUUAGCUGGUUUUAAAUCUCAACAAUCACUUUCCUGCCUUGGAGAAGGUAUGAACCAGGCUGUUUAUGUAGAAUCCAGGUGGGUUUGAGAGCAGCUUCAGCUGAAUGGAGAGUGACAGGGAGGCUGAGGAAGGGAGGGAGGGGACCCAUGGGCUGUCAUACCCGGGGACUUAGGAAGGCUCUUGCUCUUGCUGGAAGGGUUGCAAAUCCCUAAACCAAGUAAUCCCAUCCCUAAACCAAGUAAUCCCAUUAAAACAUGAAACAUCCAGAGUAAAAUUAAGUUUAGAAUACUAUUUGCAAAGCCAAACAUAGUCUUACCAUAGGAUCCAGGCAUCACACUCCUUGGUAUUUACCCAAAUGGGUUGGAAACUUCCAUAUAAAAAUCUGCACACAGGCCGGGUACGGUGGCUCACGCCUGUAAUCUCAGCACUUUGGGAGGCUGAGGCGGAUGGAUCACCUGAGGUCGGGAGUUCAAGACCAGCCUGACCAACAUGGAGAAACCCUAUCUCUGCUAAAAAUACAAAAUUAGCCAGGCGUGGUGGCACAUGCCUGUAAUACCAGCUACUCAAGGGGCUGAUGCAGGAGAAUUGCUUGAACCCAGGAGGCAGAGGUUGCGGUGAGCCGAGAUUGUGCCAUUGCACUCCAGCCUGGGCAACAAGAGUGAAACUCUGUCUCAUAAAAUAAAUAAAUAAAUAAAUAUAAACCUACACACAGGCCAGGCAGGGUGGCUCACCCUGUAAUCUCAGCACUUUGGGAGGCCGAGGCGGGUGGGGUGGAUCACGAGGUCAGGAGAUCAAGACCAACUUGGCCAAGACGGUGAAACCUCAUCUCUACUAAUAAUACAAAAAUUAGCUGGGCAUGGUGGCACAUGCCUGUAAUCCCAGCUACUCAGGAGGCUGAGACAGGAGAACCGCUUGAACCAGGGAGUCGGAAGUUGUGGUGAGCCGAGAUCACACCACUGCACUCCAGCCUGGUGACAGAGUGAGACUCUGUCUAAAAAAAAAACCUGCACACAAAUAUUCAUGGUAGCUUUAUUCAUACUUGCCAAAACCUGGAAGCAACCAAGAUGUCCUUCAAUAGGUGAAUGGGUAAAUAAACUGUGGUACAUCCAGACAAUGCAAUAUUAUUUGGUGAUUAAAAAAAAAGAAAUGAGUUAAAAUCUUGGAUUUCUUUUUUUUAAAUGAGUUAUAAAGCCACAGAAAGACCUUAAAUACAUAUUGUUAAGUGAAAGAAGCCAGCCUGCAAAGCUACAUCUAUACAUGACUGUAUGACAUUCUAGAAAAGGCAAAACUAUAGAGACAGUGAAAACAUCAGGGAUUGCCAGGGGUUAAGAGGGAAGGAAGGAUGAAAAGGCAGAGGACAGAGGAUUUUAAGGCCGGUGAAACAAUUCUAUAUCAUACCAGAAUGGUGGAUAUAUGGGCUGGGGCUCAGAAAACAAUACCCCCAAAUGAAUGCCUCAGAAGCAAAAGUUUCUCCUGCCCUCCCAUCCCUGACCUCAUUCUCCCCCAAGGUUAGCCAUAGAAACCAGAAGUCCUCUUUCCCAAGGUGGGUCAUAGAAACUUCCAAACCCCUUUUCCCCAAAGCCAGUCAUAAAACCUAAAAAUAUGACUCUAACUUCCACCCCCACCCCACCACCUUUCUGUGUAAAAAUGUGUCAUAAGGAAAUCAUCUAACCUGCCUUGUUUGGUUGUCGGUCGUAAGACCCCCAUUCGAGAGAGGGCCCUGCCCCGUACCCAGCAGGAAGCAAUGCUGCCCAGAGAGGCCACGAGGAAUCUAGACAGGGCUUGCUGGGGGGCCCCACUCACUCUAUGAGCAUUAGCUCAUUCCCUUUUUUGUCCAAUCACAUUUCUAAAUAUUUUGUUGCACCUAAGCUUAAAAGUGGGCAGAGUCCCCUGCAUCUCUGGGUCUUCGUUCUGAAGGCUCCCCUGUCAUGUAACACUAUGACCAAAUAGAUGUGUGUGCCUUUUCUCCUAUUCAUCUGCCUUUUGUCUGUUAAUUUUCAGUGAAACUUCAGAGGGUGAAGGGGAAGUUUUCCUUGGCCCCUACACGUGUCAUUACAAACCCAUAGAAUGUACAAUGCCAAGAGUGGACCUUAGUGCAAGCCAGGGACAUUAGUCAGUAAUAAUGUUCCACGCUGACGCACAAAUGAAAGUUAUUUUAUUUGUGUGAACAGGAGAGCUGACAUGGUCUGUAUUGAUAUCUCCUGGGCAGGGAGGUGGUGAGCACGGCCCCAGAAUUCUGAACUGCCAGGAGCCAGGCAGCUUUGCAUCCUGGAGCUUGGCCAAUUCAGCCGCCCAAGUUCUGGCCAUGGGUCUGCAGCCCCCUGGCCCUUGCCUGCAUAAGCAGGAGAUGAAUGAGAGGAAGCAGAACUCACACAGGAGGCAGGAGGAAGCCACCAGGAAGCUCACUGGCUCCAGGGGCAGCAGAUCUGGGAUGGGGUCCCAGUUCUCUCCUUCCUCAUUCAUGAAAUGGGGCAAUAACAGUACUUACUUCAUUGGAGGUUCUUGGAGGGAAUAAAAGAGAUAUUAGUUAAAGGCAUGGAGCACAGUCCCUGGCACACUGAAAAAGUUUCAUAAAUGUUACCAAUUAAUUGUUUGUAUUAUAUAAUGUCUUCCUGAUAGGUUUUUGGGAAGGAAUAAAUCAAAGGUGAGAAAAUAUAUACAAAAACCUGACUGAGCGAGAACAUAGCUUACACACAAGAAGUGGCAGCUUGGUGAGCACACUGCUAUGUCAUGUUGUGCCUAGUCAUGACAUAGCCAAGGACUGAUACAGGCGCUCCCAUAACCCAUGGAUGGAUUCCUGCUGGACUCUAUUCAUGAAGGUUCUGAUUCUAAUUUUUUUAAAUCCAUGGAUAAAACAGCUACCAGAAAAUCCCAUUUGGGUUUGCAUGUUGUUCUUUGGCUUCGGUGGACAGCAAUCAUAUCAGUUGCAUUUCCCGAGCUAGAGCUCUGAGGCUUAGUCAUCCCCCUCCCUGGCUGGCUUCCAUGCUGUCUGCAGUGGGAGCAUCUUUUAUGAGAUGACAGGAGGGGACUUCAUGGAUGUGCAGCCUGGGCUGCUGGUACUGCCGGGGCUGCUGGUACUGCUGGGACUGCAGGAGAGGGAUGGUUUCUAUUAAUCCUCACAAUGGGAGGGUCCAGUGGGCUGUCACAGCACAGGCAGGGAAUCACAGGCCUCCCUGGGUGACCAGCUGUCCUGGCUGCUACCAGAUUCGGACUCCAGCAGGCUUUCCCUGGGGGCAGAGAUGACCUUGAUCUCUGGGCAGCUAGGCUUCAUGUCCUUGAUAUUUGUGGCCCUGCAUUGUUGGGGCACAGGAUGCAGAGCUGGGGAUGACUGAGCUUAAACUCCUGCUGCUAUGGAGGGCUGCCUCCUUGCCCUGAAUGCCCUGGGAGCCCUUUUAAAAACACAGGUCCAAGGAGUGAUAACAUGAGGGGCAGCACCUCUGGCCCCUGAGAGAGAAACUUGUCCAGUGAUAUGUGCACAAGCAACAUCUCCAGGCAUUCCUUCCAGACAAGGCAAGAGGCCCCCCAGGUGUGAUAUGUUAGCUACACAUGGGCUUGGUCUGUACUGCAAAUGUGUACUCAGUGAUGGGGCCAUUAGAUAUUUGGUUUCUACAUUGCUGCGAUGAAAAUUUACAAAGAACGUUCAUGGGGAAACCAGCUCCCAUCCAUGGGCAGCAGAGGAAUGUUGUCCAAGACUUACAUGGACAGGUAAGACUAAGGUCUCAUCCCAUACUCAGCAGUUCUGUGACCUUUUACAGAACAUAGGGAGGCAAGAAGGGAAAUGAGCCUUAGUUAGCCUCAGGGAGAACCAAGCCAGGUCUGUUUAGGGUCACCACCUUCACUGAACUGCCCUCCACUGGAGGCUAGGAACUGCAGGACAUGAGUUCAACAUCAAAAUAGUAAAAAUAGUGGCAAAUGUUUAGCAGUGUUUGCAACAUAUCAGGUGUCACAGCAACCUCUGCAGGAGAGGUGAGCAGGGCUAAUAUUUAGCAGGUGCACCCUUGUACUGGCUGCCUGCCAUUUAAUAGGUUAGUGCCUCAGCUGGUUAUUGAAUAUUUUCAACAUCGGCCCUGGGUACUAAGAUUAGUUCCCAUUUUACUGAUUAGGAAAUCGAGGUUAAGAGAGGGUAGGCGAUUUGCCUGAGAUCACACAGCCUCGUGUGUGGCAGAGCCUUAGAUUCCAAGCCAGGCUGUCCGAUGCCAGACCUUCACAGCUAUCCUAUGCUUCCACGGCACCCCGGACUUCCCCUUGGAGCACUUGCCAGUGAAACAAACAUGCCCUGGAGAAAUGCCUGGGUUAUGUGAAGUUGGCAGUUCCCAAGGGCUUUAGGCUUGAAGCUGUGGGUCAUACCCCUUCGGAAACUUGGUCCCCAAGAGAAAUGUAUGCUUCUGAAAACCACAGGUGCAUGAAUCGUGUUUAGUAAAUGACUACUAAACUGAAAUCAGGACUUGUCUAUAUCUUGGCUUCUCAAACUUGAAUAUGCUUAUCAUCUGGAUAGCAAAAGCAUUCCUACACGUUGAGGCCUGCCAGCGUGGGUGUCACCCAGGAGCCACUCGGAAAGGCUCAUCGGAAACCACCCCGGACUGACUGAGGCAGAAUCUCUGGGGGCAGGACCCAGGCCUCAGCAUAAAAACUCCAGGUGACGGAAGAGCUCCCACCUAACAGGUGUGUUGGCAUUGUUGUAGGUGACUGACGUAGUUUCCCAUCUCACAACUCUACCUCCAUGAAGAAAAGUCAUGGAAAAUUGAGACUUUGGGCUGAGUGUGGCUCAUCCCUGUAAUCUUAGUGCUUUGGGAGGCUGAGGUAGGAGGAUCGCUUGAGGCCAGGAAUUUGAGGCCAGCCUGAGCAACAUAGUGUCUCUUCAAAAAACUAAGUUUAUUCUUUCCUCUUUUUUAGUUUUUAUUUUACACGGCUCACUGUGGCUUUGACCUCCCAUGCUGAAGCGAUCCUCCUAUCUCAACCUCUCAAGUAGCUGGAAGCACAGGCAUGCACCACCACACCUGGCUAAUUUUUUUCUUCCUUUUUUAAAGAGACAGUCUUGCCAUGUUGCCCAGGCCCUGUUGACCAGGAAAAAAAAAAGUUUUUUUUCUUUUUUAAAGAAAGAAAAUAAAAGAGACUGAGAAACCACAGAAAUAAAGAAGCGCUGAUGACAAUGCCUGCUUGCUGAUGGUUACGAUGAUCAUAGCAGUGUGCAUUUUGUAUGCAUGAAGCCUGCGACUAAAUAAACGUGUGGGGAAAUAUUUGUAAGGAAAUAAGCUAUUAAUAAAAUAAGCUAAAAUCACA
Molecule: long non-coding RNA, 14102 nt
Organism: Homo sapiens (human)
Lineage: Eukaryota; Metazoa; Chordata; Mammalia; Primates; Hominidae
Exons: 2
Source: RefSeq, a predicted model, not a curated record